AACGAACGCUGGCGGCAUGCCUAACACAUGCAAGUCGAACGAGAUCUUCGGGUCUAGUGGCGCACGGGUGCGUAACGCGUGGGAAUCUGCCCUUUGGUUCGGAAUAACAGUUGGAAACGACUGCUAAUACCGGAUGAUGACGAAAGUCCAAAGAUUUAUCGCCAGAGGAUGAGCCCGCGUAGGAUUAGCUAGUUGGUGUGGUAAAGGCGCACCAAGGCGACGAUCCUUAGCGGGUGUGAGAGGAGGAUCCGCCACGCUGGGACUGAGACACGGCCCAGACUGCUACGGGAGGCAGCAGGGGGGAAUAUUGGACAAUGGGCGAAUGCCUGAUCCAGCAAUGCCGCGUGAGUGAUGAAGGCCUUAGGGUUGUAAAGCUCUUUUACCCGGGAUGAUAAUGACAGUACCGGGAGAAUAAGCUCCGGCUAACUCCGUGCCAGCCGCCGCGGUAA
Molecule: ribosomal RNA, 449 nt
Filed under: uncultured bacterium
Lineage: Bacteria
Description: partial 16S ribosomal RNA
Rfam family: Bacterial small subunit ribosomal RNA
Source: RNAcentral